UACGUAGGCAGCGAGCGUUGUUCGGAGUUACUGGGCGUAAAGGGUGUGUAGGCGGUUUUCUAAGUUUGGUGUGAAAUCUCCCGGCUCAACCGGGAGGGUGCGCCGAAAACUGGGAGACUAGAGUGCGGGAUGGGAGAGUAGAAUUCCUGGUGUAGCGGUGAAAUGCGUAGAUAUCAGGAGGAACACCGGUGGCGAAGGCGGCGACCUGGGUCGAUACUGACGCUGAGGUGCGAAAGCGUGGGGAGCGAACAGG
Molecule: ribosomal RNA, 253 nt
Filed under: uncultured bacterium
Lineage: Bacteria
Description: partial 16S ribosomal RNA
Rfam family: Bacterial small subunit ribosomal RNA
Source: RNAcentral